CCCUUAGAUGUUCUGGGCCGCACGCGCGCUACGCUGACGGAGUCAACGAGUUGUCCUGCAUCGGAAGGUGUGGGUAAUCUUUUGAAACUUCGUCGUGCUGGGGAUAGAUCUUUGCAAUUUUCGAUCUUGAACGAGGAAUUCCUAGUAAGCGUGAUUCAUCAGAUCGCGUUGAUUACGUCCCUGCCCUUUGUACACACCGCCCGUCGCUACUACCGAUUGAAUGGUUUAGUGAGGCCUCGGGACUGGCGCGCUCGAGUAGCAAUACACCUGCGCGCCGGGAACUUGGUCAAACUUGAUCAUUUAGAGGAAGUAAAAGUCGUAACA
This 324-nucleotide ribosomal RNA is filed under the name uncultured eukaryote. RNAcentral describes it as "partial 18S ribosomal RNA". It matches the Rfam family "Eukaryotic small subunit ribosomal RNA", at positions 1470 to 1796 of the family's 1831-position model. The record is from RNAcentral.